GACAGAGGUGGCUAGCGUUGUUCGGUGUCACUGGGCUUAAAGCGUGUGUAGGCGGGAAAGUAAGCGUUUUGUGAAAGCCCCCGGCUUAACCGGGGAACUGCUUGACGAACUGCUUUUCUUGAGGCAGGCAGGGGUGCGUGGAACUCUUGGUGGAGCGGUGAAAUGCGUAGAUAUCAAGAGGAACGCCAGUGGUGAAGACGGCGCACUGGGCCUGUCCUGACGCUGAGACACGAAAGCGUGGGUAGCGAACGGGAUUAGAUACCCCCGUA
Molecule: ribosomal RNA, 269 nt
Filed under: uncultured prokaryote
Description: partial 16S ribosomal RNA
Rfam family: Bacterial small subunit ribosomal RNA
Source: RNAcentral